GGGGAUCUAGCUCAGGGGUAUAAGCACCUGCCUUGCAAGCAGGCGCAGGCGGUCGUGAGUUCGAUCCCUG
This 70-nucleotide transfer RNA is filed under the name Cavia porcellus (domestic guinea pig). It matches the Rfam family "tRNA". Rfam says of the family: Transfer RNA (tRNA) molecules are approximately 80 nucleotides in length. Their secondary structure includes four short double-helical elements and three loops (D, anti-codon, and T loops). Lineage: Eukaryota; Metazoa; Chordata; Mammalia; Rodentia; Caviidae. The record is from Rfam by way of RNAcentral.